CAUAGAUGCUUGGCUGAGAUGGGCUAAUAUUAAAAUGAAAGCACAUUGUCACACUCUUCCCACACCUCUGAGCAACAGACUGAACUAUACAUAAGAGACAGUACUCCCUAACAUCUGACUGAAGCACAUUGGCUUUUACUGUGCCAAGAGGAGGAUGGAAAUGGUAUCAACACCUUGCUUUAAAAACGCUGUGAGCAAAGAUUUUGGGGAAAAAAAAGAACAGAAGAAGGCAGCUUGUAUUUGGAACUCAAAUUGUGUUUUACACUGACAAUUUCAGUGCUCAUUCAAAGUGAAAACUUUAAAGAAAUCUAAUCUACUGACCAAUUUCACUAGCAUUUAAGAAGCAUUUUCAGGCCUUCUGCUGUUGAGUGGGAAGAUGAAGAUCUGCAAGAUUUUUUGUCAAGGACUUGGAAGUGGAGAUCAAAGGGAGGGAGAAGAAAAGAAUCUGAUUACAGAUCGAGUGUCCAAAACAGGAGCAUCCAGGAGUGAAAUAUUUCAUGGAGAACUGGACUUUACUAGUAAGACAUAUGCCAGUAUAACAUACCUGGGCUGAAACAACAAAGAGAGCAAUGCUGAAGGCUGGGAAUGCUUGAUGUAAGGGUGCAGAAAAGCCCUGUUGCACAAUCACCCCUGUGUCUGAAAACAGUGCUGCACUAACUCAAAGGAGGACAAGUCUUACAGGUCUCUUCUCUCUUGUUGAUUUAGAUUUUAAUAGCACUUUUACUGUGGGCAAUGAUUCUCACUGGAGUCUUUUCGGUUUUCUCCUGCAUGCAGUUCAAGAUACUUUAUGGUAAAAAUAAUAGUCAUAAAUAAAGUUAGAAGAGCCUGAGUUACAAGUGCAGGCAAUGGUUCAGAAAUAAUACACUUUGAACUAAUGUGUUCUAUGCAUAAAAGGGACUUCAAUACAUAGUCAUUAUUUUCCUGUAAUAUGGUUAAUAAUGUUAUCCUCUGUUAUCCCCUGUCAGAUGUUUGAAGAGCAAUGUAGGCAGGUGGAAAAUACAGGGACAAUAUAGUCUAGCUUUAGGGAUUAAUCUAAUACCUGAUUAUUAGGCUUUUAAAAGACAUCUGUCAACAAUACCAUGAUAAGACCUUUCUCUAAUUGUUUGUAUUGAGUAAUGCAACUGGGCCCUUUUUCUUAUGAAACAAAUCUUUCCCUUUCACAUCAAAUAGUUUAUCCUACAGGUUCCAUAAUAUUUUCCAUUCAUUGAUUCUGGAUGCCUUUUCAACUCAUUUCCAAAGUCUAAGGGUUUCAAAAUCCAAUACAUUUAUGUUUCUACCUGAUUAACAGCUGUUCUUGUAUAACUCAGAUACGUUUUUUUCCCCUGGAUUGUUUUCCCCUUAACUGUUCACCAUCAUUCUUUGUUAUUUAUCAUGCUAUGCUUACUUCCUAGAACUAGAAUGCAUUAUGGUCUCUUCUCUGCUUGAUAGCUCAAUAAGCUUGAUCCAGGUCACACAGUUUCCUACAGCUUUCAGAAACAUUGAUCCUGGUUUUCAUCAUUAAACUCAACUCAUCUGCUCAAUGUGAAGACAAUUGAUUAGACAUUUUUAAUGACUUCUUUAUCCUGAGUGAGUAUGAAUUUCCUGCUCUGCAUAAAGUGUGGGCUUCUUUUUCAGCGCUGCAUACUGAUCACUUCUCCAACUGAAGUCCAUUGUUGGUUAGCACCUUCAGAAGAUUGAAGUGCAUGAUAAAUAAAUAUAGAAACCCUCCUGAAUUAGAAGGCCAUUAAAAUUGUGAAGUCAGGCCCCCAAUAGCUGGAAAUAGAUAGUUAAGGCUGCAACGUCAACUGGCCCAGAUGUGAAUGCACAAAUAUUAUUCAAGAUACAAUGAGAAAAUGUUGUCACAAGAAAGACUUCAGCCACCUAACUGACAUUUUUGGCAACUCAGCCCCAUCCUCAGUCCUCAAAAACUGGUACUUAGAAUCUGAAGUGACUUCUGCUUUCAGUAUUAAACUUCUGCACAUGCUUAAAUGGAUUCUGGUCAUGUUCAGAAACACUGUAGGUACAUUUCCCUUCUAGAGACCUAUAGAUCUUAUACCUAAAUGUAUAUCACACUAGAUCUCACAGUUUUGCCUUAAUGCUGAUCAGAAGAUGCUAUUGGAAUUGAGUGUGGUUUGGGUUCUGUAGAAAGCAGUGUUUUGGGAAGCUGUGAUCUAAUGGCUUUUUGCUCAGAUCACUUAGAUUUAGAUGAGAAUUUGCUCUGGGAAGCAUGUGAUUUAAAAAAAAAAAAAAAAAGUUCCCUGUGACAGUGACCAUAACAAUGAAAAGGCACGGUACUGAGAAUUCUUAAAUGGUGUUAGGCUGUUUGUAGCCUCUGUUCUAGAAAUAGAUGAUGCUGAGAUAAUAAAAAUAAGGGAAGCAUUCAAUCGCACAGCUGUCAUGGAAAAUUACAACCCCAACAGAAUAAAUGUUAAGUAACAGGAAAUAUUGUGUUUUAAUAAGAAGCAGUACAAUGCAGCCUAUAUGUAAUCAUUGUUAUUAACUAGAAAU
Long non-coding RNA from Pogoniulus pusillus (Red-fronted tinkerbird), 2487 nucleotides. RefSeq lists it as uncharacterized. The record is from RefSeq and is a predicted model, not a curated record. The transcript is spliced from 3 exons. Lineage: Eukaryota; Metazoa; Chordata; Aves; Piciformes; Lybiidae.